Molecule: long non-coding RNA, 1621 nt
Organism: Tyto alba (common barn owl)
Lineage: Eukaryota; Metazoa; Chordata; Aves; Strigiformes; Tytonidae
Exons: 2
Source: RefSeq, a predicted model, not a curated record
AUCACCAGGGAAGCCUUGGGAAGCGGAAACUCCUAGGUGUUCAGAUGCUUCAUGAGCAAGGAAUGUUUGUGGCCCCACAGGGCUCUGGGACACAGCAUAAAAGCCUGCGCUGCUCCAGGCUCUGCAUCCUCCUCUCUUGCUUCACUUUCCUCGAGGAACGAGGUUGUCCCUGCAAUUGAACAGUUGAAGGGCUGUCACCUCUGUCCCUUUUGCUGGACGUGGCUGCAGAAAAAUGGGAAGAGGGUGUUCUUUCAAGCAGAAGGGUAUCAAUGGGGUUCAGCUGUAGGGGUGUCUGCCUCACCAGAACUUACGCCUGCAGCAGAUGCUCUCUAAUCAAAUGGCCAAGUGCUUCAUCAAUGCAACAACUGUUGUUCUGGACAUGGGUAAUGCUCAGGUGCUUUAAACCCACUGUGCUUGAUCCUAUCCUAAAGUGGGUCAGCGUUCCUGCACUGUGCAACUCAGAGGAGUGCAUUACAAGCUGUAGGAAGACUGUGUGUGUUUAAGAGGUGAUUUCUGAGACACCCAUUCAACGCAGCCCAUUUGUGCUGGGAUACUUGCAUCAAUCUUCAUCUGUGCUAUUGUACUGGGAAAUGCAGUAGGAGGUCCUGGUGCAAUCAGCAGCCAGUUAGGCACUUCUUUGCUCCCAGUGCUUCAAAUCCAACCUUAGGGGGAUAUAUCACGUACGUUGUGUGUGUUAGAAAGAUCAGGUGCAGGCAUUUUCUGCAUGUGGGGAUCGAAUGGGGAUGGAGAGCAGCCAAGUGUAUCUGCAGAGAGAGCUGUGGACAUGAGAGCCAAGUUGAUGUUUUGGUCUGUGUUUCCUUCCUGCUCUGUGUUGCAGCUUUGCUUCCUUCACCGAGAGAUGUCUUGCUUCAGACCCUGUCCCCCACGGCCCUGCUGUGCCUCUGGCCCAACCCCACUUGCAAGCAGCUGCAGUGAGCCCUGUGUCGCCCGCUGCGCUGACUCGACUGUGUUCAUCGAGCCCUCGCCGGUGGUGGUGACCCUGCCGGGCCCCAUCCUCACCUCUUUCCCUCAGAGCACCGCUGUGGGAUCGUCUCUGUCAGCUGCUGUUGGGAGCUCCCUCAGUGCCGGGGGAGUUCCCAUCUCUUCUGGGGGCUCCCUUGGUCUGGGCGGGUCCGGGAUGUGUCUGCCGCUCCCCCGCUGCAGUCUGAACUGCUGAAGCCGGUGGCUCAUCACCUCGGGAGCAGGACGGAAGACGGGACCCUGCAGCAGCAGGUCAUGGACAUGUCUUACAGACAGGCUGGGUGUCCUCAUGCCACCUGGCAGGACGGACCUGUGCCCACUUCUCCUCGCUGCACGGCUGGUGUGGCCAUGUCUCCUCUGGCUCUGCUUUGCUCUGAACUCUUCGGAAAGGUCUUAUUCUCUUCUGCUUUGCUGAACCCCCUGCUGAAGGGGAGAGGGUGCUGGAGUUAGGGAUCGCUCUUGGUGGGCUGCCGUUGCCAGCAGGGAGAGCAGAAUGGGAAAAGGCAAGCGCUUUGUAUGCAGCUUGUCCUUGGGAAAUGGGCCAUCCUCUGUGCGUCCCUCAAUCCUGCAGAUGUGUUUCUUGGUCUCUGUUCUGUGCCACUGCAUUUCCUCCUUCUCAUUAAAGGUUUUGUGCAUCAUA